UUGACCUCAAAUCAGGUAGGACUACCCGCUGAACUUAAGCAUAUCAAUAAGCGGAGGAAAAGAAACUAACAAGGAUUCCCCUAGUAACUGCGAGUGAAGCGGGAAAAGCUCAAAUUUGAAAUCUGGCGGUUCUUGACCGUCCGAGUUGUAGUCUAGAGAAGUGUUUACCUGUGCUGGACCAUGUACAAGUCUCCUGGAAUGGAGCAUCACAGAGGGUGAGAAUCCCGUCUUUGACAUGGACUACCUGUAUAUUAUGGUGCGCUCUCAAAGAGUCGAGUUGUUUGGGAAUGCAGCUCAAAAUGGGUGGUAAAUGCCAUCUAAAGCUAAAUAUUGGCGAGAGACCGAUAGCGAACAAGUACCGUGAGGGAAAGAUGAAAAGAACUUUGGAAAGAGAGUUAAACAGUACGUGAAAUUGCUGAAAGGGAAACGCUUGAAGUCAGUCGCAUUGGCUAGAAAUCAGCCUUGCUUUUGCUUGGUGUACUUUCUUGUUGAUGGGUCAGCAUCAAUUUUGACCACUGGAUAAAGUCUUUUGGGAAUGUGGCAUCCUUGGAUGUGUUAUAGCCCAUUGUCGCAUACAGUGGUUGGGAUUGAGGAACUCAGCAUGCCGCAAAGGCUGGAUCAUUUUGAUUACAAUACGUGCUUAGGAUGCUGGCAUAAUGGCUUUAAUCGACCCGUC
RNAcentral lists this ribosomal RNA (676 nucleotides) under Inocybe auricoma. RNAcentral's name for it is "eukaryotic LSU rRNA". It matches the Rfam family "Eukaryotic large subunit ribosomal RNA", at positions 1 to 653 of the family's 3401-position model. Lineage: Eukaryota; Fungi; Basidiomycota; Agaricomycetes; Agaricales; Inocybaceae. The record is from RNAcentral.